RNAcentral lists this ribosomal RNA (257 nucleotides) under uncultured bacterium. RNAcentral's name for it is "partial 16S ribosomal RNA". It matches the Rfam family "Bacterial small subunit ribosomal RNA", at positions 524 to 776 of the family's 1533-position model. The record is from RNAcentral.
UACGAAGGGGGCUAGCGUUGCUCGGAAUGACUGGGCGUAAAGGGCGCGUAGGCGGAUGGCACAGUCAGAUGUGAAAUUCCCGGGCUUAACCUGGGGGGCUGCAUUUGAUACGUGUUGUCUUGAGUUCGGAAGAGGGUCGUGGAAUUCCCAGUGUAGAGGUGAAAUUCGUAGAUAUUGGGAAGAAACACCGGUGGCGAAGGCGGCGACCUGGUCCGACACUGACGCUGAGGCGCGAAAAGCGUGGGGGAGCAAACAGG